GACCCCUGGCAAUGGGCAGAGACACCUUGUUGGUGGGGCUGUUCUUCUGUCAGUCAGGGGCAGAACAGGUGGCAGUCCUUAGCUCAUCCUAGCUUGAUGCCUGGCUUGGUGACCAAAGCUGCCUUAUGCCUAGGACUCAUAA
Small nucleolar RNA from Acomys russatus (golden spiny mouse), 142 nucleotides. RefSeq annotates it as small nucleolar RNA SNORA48. The transcript has a single exon. NCBI's taxonomy places the organism in Eukaryota, Metazoa, Chordata, Mammalia, Rodentia, Muridae. The record is from RefSeq and is a predicted model, not a curated record.